This 246-nucleotide long non-coding RNA is filed under the name Junco hyemalis (dark-eyed junco). RNAcentral describes it as "lncRNA (ENSJHYG00000007018.1)". The record is from RNAcentral. Lineage: Eukaryota; Metazoa; Chordata; Aves; Passeriformes; Passerellidae.
AUGAGGACACCGAAGUCCUUCAGAGCACGGCCACAGGGCUAAAAUUCCUGUCCACAAGCCAACAACAGAAGAAAAAAAAGAUAAACAUCUCUGCACCUUUUUGUGACCUGUGCUAGAAAAAGGCUCUGUUGUGUUAUAAUGUUAAUCCAUUUUGACAAUACAGACAGGAUAUCUUCAUAAAAAACAGAUCUUAACAAGACUUUCUGUUGACCCUUACCACACAGCUAGGUUAUUUUCAUAAUUUAC